This 61-nucleotide transfer RNA is filed under the name Cavia porcellus (domestic guinea pig). It matches the Rfam family "tRNA". From Rfam's summary of the family: Transfer RNA (tRNA) molecules are approximately 80 nucleotides in length. Their secondary structure includes four short double-helical elements and three loops (D, anti-codon, and T loops). The record is from Rfam by way of RNAcentral. Lineage: Eukaryota; Metazoa; Chordata; Mammalia; Rodentia; Caviidae.
AGGGAUUUAGCUCAGCGGUAUAAGCACCUGCCUGGCAAGCAAGUCGUGAGUUCAAUCCCUG